UGUUUAUGGCACCUUGGCCAGGAGGAGCCCAGACAGGUCCCGUUCUGUGGCCCGAGACCAGCACCAGGCCCUCUUGCCUGCCCCAUGCAGUCCCCGCGGCCCGCAGUCUCAGGCCGGCUCAGGCCGUGCUCCGGCCCCUCCCUUUGCUCGGAGUCUGCUGGGUGAAACCUCAGUGGGCCCACCUGGUGUCUGCUUUCCCUUAGCACAGUGAUGCUGCCCUCCUCCACGACGGAGCCAAUUGCUCCACACUGGAGGUCGUCUGUGGAUAGAAGACAACCACAGGUGGCAGAGCCACCAGAGCCGGAAGGAGCCACCGUGACGACAUCAGCCACGUGCUUGCUUUGUGUCUGUCCCCAGGACUCCUCAUUGCUGGGCCUGUGCUGCCCUGAGGACAGAGAGUCUCUGUCACCAUGAUGCUCACGCCCUGGCUGGGAAAUGACAACAAACUCUGAACAGAAAAUCUGGAAAAUAUAUAAAAUAGAAGGACGGAAAAAUGCUCCUGUGGUCCCAUUGCCUGCUCACACUCUGAAGUGCCCGGCAGCAUCUACGCACAUGUGUCUUUAACCAGAGGUGGACACAGUGCACAGACAGCGUUGUCCUGGAGCCUAUCCACCAUUCCUCUGCUGCACCUGGACGGUUCCGGGGCCUUCUUCAGGGGCUCCAGCCUUGAGAUGGUUCCUCAGGCCCUGGUUUCAGAGUCAGACUAGCAUGAAAGUACCUGUCACUCC
Molecule: long non-coding RNA, 728 nt
Filed under: Equus caballus (horse)
Lineage: Eukaryota; Metazoa; Chordata; Mammalia; Perissodactyla; Equidae
Description: lncRNA (ENSECAG00000037982.3)
Source: RNAcentral